GCCCAGAUGGUGGAAUUGGUAGACACGCUGGUCUUAGAAGCCAGUGCCUCUGGUGUGAGAGUUCGAGUCUCUCUCUGGGCACCA
This 84-nucleotide transfer RNA is filed under the name Candidatus Altimarinota bacterium. RNAcentral's name for it is "tRNA-Leu". It matches the Rfam family "tRNA". From Rfam's summary of the family: Transfer RNA (tRNA) molecules are approximately 80 nucleotides in length. Their secondary structure includes four short double-helical elements and three loops (D, anti-codon, and T loops). Lineage: Bacteria; Candidatus Altimarinota. The record is from RNAcentral.